Molecule: ribosomal RNA, 1462 nt
Filed under: Beggiatoa alba
Lineage: Bacteria; Pseudomonadati; Pseudomonadota; Gammaproteobacteria; Thiotrichales; Thiotrichaceae
Description: bacterial SSU rRNA
Rfam family: Bacterial small subunit ribosomal RNA
Source: RNAcentral
CGCUGGCGGCNUGCUUAACACAUGCAAGUCGAACGGUAACGGGUUAAGCCNNCGAGUGGCGGACGGGUGAGUAAUACAUGGGAAUCUGCCUGAUAGUGGGGGACAACCUAGGGAAACUUAGGCUAAUACCGCAUAAUCCUAAGGGGGGAAAGUAGGGGANCUUCGGGCCUUACGCUAACAGAUGAGCCCAUGUCGGAUUAGCUAGUUGGUAGGGUAAAAGCCUACCAAGGCUACGAUCCGUAGCUGGUCUGAGAGGACGACCAGCCACACUGGGACUGAGACACGGCCCAGACUCCUGCGGGAGGCAGCAGUGGGGAAUAUUGGACAAUGGGGGCAACCCUGAUCCAGCAAUGCCGCGUGUGUGAAGAAGGCCUGCGGGUUGUAAAGCACUUUAGGUUGGGAAGAAAAAGCACAUGCUAAUACCAUGUGAAAUUGACGUUACCAACGGAAUAAGCACCGGCUAACUCUGUGCCAGCAGCCGCGGUAAUACAGAGGGUGCAAGCGUUAAUCGGAAUUACUGGGCGUAAAGCGUGCGUAGGUGGUUAAUUAAGUCAGAUGUGAAAUCCCUGAGCUUAACUUAGGAACAGCAUUUGAUACUGGUUGACUAGAGUGUAAUAGAGGGUAGUGGAAUUCCACGUGUAGCGGUGAAAUGCGUAGAUAUGUGGAGGAACAUCAGUGGCGAAGGCGACUACCUGGAUUAACACUGACACUGAGGCACGAAAGCGUGGGGAGCAAACAGGAUUAGAUACCCUGGUAGUCCACGCCCUAAACGAUGAGAACUAGAUGUUGGGAGAGACUGUCUCUUACUAUCGCAGCUAACGCACUAAGUUCUCCGCCUGGGGAGUACGGUCGCAAGAUUAAAACUCAAAUGAAUUGACGGGGGCCCGCACAAGCGGUGGAGCAUGUGGUUUAAUNCGAUGCAACGCGAAGAACCUUACCUGGUCUUGACAUCCUAAGAAUCCUGUAGAAAUAUGGGAGUGCCUUCGGGAGCUUAGAGACAGGUGCUGCAUGGCUGUCGUCAGCUCGUGUCGUGAGAUGUUGGGUUAAGUCCCGCAACGAGCGCAACCCCUAUCCUUAGUUGCCAGCGUAAAGGUCGGGAACUCUAAGGAGACUGCCGAUGACAAAUCGGAGGAAGGUGGGGAUGACGUCAAGUCAUCAUGGCCUUUAUGACCAGGGCUACACACGUGCUACAAUGGUAGGUACAAAGGGUUGCCAAGCCGCGAGGUGGAGCCAAUCCCAGAAAACCUAUCGUAGUCCGGAUUGAAGUCUGCAACUCGACUCCAUGAAGUCGGAAUCGCUAGUAAUCGUAGAUCAGCACUGCUACGGUGAAUACGUUCCCGGGCCUUGUACACACCGCCCGUCACACCAUGGGAGUGGGCUGUACCNGNNGUAGGUAGUCUAACCGNNNNNNNNGCGCUUACCACGGUAUGGUUCAUGACUGGGGUNAAGUCGUAACAAGGUA